Molecule: transfer RNA, 69 nt
Filed under: Chiropotes chiropotes (Red-backed bearded saki)
Lineage: Eukaryota; Metazoa; Chordata; Mammalia; Primates; Pitheciidae
Description: tRNA-Leu
Rfam family: tRNA
About the family: Transfer RNA (tRNA) molecules are approximately 80 nucleotides in length. Their secondary structure includes four short double-helical elements and three loops (D, anti-codon, and T loops).
Source: RNAcentral
ACUUUUAGAGGAUAGUAGUAAUCCAUUGGUCUUAGGAGCCAAAAACAUUGGUGCAACUCCAAAUAAAAG